Ornithorhynchus anatinus (platypus) is the source of this 127-nucleotide small nuclear RNA. The record is from RefSeq and is a predicted model, not a curated record. Lineage: Eukaryota; Metazoa; Chordata; Mammalia; Monotremata; Ornithorhynchidae.
GUUUGUUUGAAAGAAGAGAAGGUUAGCACUCUGCUUGAGAAGGAUGGAAGAGGUCCCAGUGGCCUUUACGACGCAUAUAUGGUUAAGGCAUUGCCACCUUCUUCGUGGCGUCUAAUCAAGUUUCAGU